Molecule: long non-coding RNA, 1294 nt
Organism: Stegostoma tigrinum
Lineage: Eukaryota; Metazoa; Chordata; Chondrichthyes; Orectolobiformes; Stegostomatidae
Exons: 3
Source: RefSeq, a predicted model, not a curated record
CGUGGAGGUGGUGACUGCAGCAGCGGUUCCGGAAGUUCUGUGGCCGGCGGAGGCCGAUGUGACGUCAUCGGUGGGGUCUCCGGCCGUGUCCUCAUGGUCAAUGGCGGCGGGUGCAUGGUGGGGGAGGGGCAGGGACAGAGUCGGGAUUUGGGAGGCGCAGGAAUCCUCUUGUGGGUGGCAGGGGCCCGUGAGUUGGUUGUACUUACGAUUUUUGGUGUCCAGUAAAGCUGAGUGGAACUGGGUGUUCAGUCUGUGGAUCCUGCGGAGGAUAAAAAACAGCAGGGGUCCUGUGCAGGUGUGGGAGAGGGAGGCUCUGAGCUGGGGCAGGCUGGAUUGCAGUGUGUGGAGGUGCCGGCGCAUGGCUGCGAGUGUCUGUUUCAGGACUCGCAGGGAGAAACGCUUCUGAAGGGUCUGAAUAUUCUGGGUGUAGAGGUGGUCACGGUUGGGGACAAAUUGGGAAGGUUGAAAUGUGGACUGUAGUCCCUUGGGGAUGAUCUGGUUCCGUAGGCAGGUGCUGAGAAAGGUGAUGUGGCUGUGGUACCUGGUUUGCUUCAGGACAUGGUCGAGCAGUUUCAAGGCCGAAGAGAUUACAAGAGAGUUGCAAUGGGAGAGAGAUUCCCUGAGUUUAUAGCACUGGACCUAAUCGACAACGAAGUCGCCGAUCCUCAGGUGCCAUCUCUCUCCACUGGGCCAACGUCACCUCUGCUGAUGAAGCAGCCACCGAUUUCAGGUCCUGUGCUUGCUCUGGAAAAGUAAGUAGCGGCUCACAUGGUCCGCCUUGGGUCCACAGUAAGCCUGCCCGAGGUCCGCACCCUGGGCCUGGCUGAAGAUUCCUGGAUCUGCCCAAGGCCUGCAUUCUGUGCUCCUGCUGAUGCCAUCCAAGCUCAGGACAAGAUUUUAGAUUCCCUACAGUGUGGAAACAGGCCCUUCGGCCCAACAAGUCCACACCAGCCUUUGAAGCAUCCUACCCAGACCCAUCCCCCAAUAACCCACACACCCCUGAACGCUAUGGGCAAUUUAGCAUGGCCAAUCCAACUAACCUACACAUCUUUGGACUGUGGGAGGAAACCGGAGCACCCGGAGGAAACUCACGCAGACACGGGGAGAAUGUGCAAACUCACACAGAGAGUCGCCCGAGGCGGGAAUCAAACCCGGGUGACUGGUGCUGUGAGGCUGCAGUGCUAACCAUUGAGCCACCAUGCCACCCAAAAUUUGUUCAAAAUUUUGUUCUCUGACAGAAAGUCACCUUGUGUAGCUUAGCAUUAUAUUCUGGUUUGUCAUACUCUUACAUUAA